AACGAACGCUGGCGGCAUGCCUAACACAUGCAAGUCGAACGAUGCCUUCGGGCAUAGUGGCGCACGGGUGCGUAACGCGUGGGAAUCUGCCCUUUGCUUCGGAAUAACAGUUAGAAAUGACUGCUAAUACCGGAUGAUGUCUUCGGACCAAAGAUUUAUCGGCAAGGGAUGAGCCCGCGUAGGAUUAGGUAGUUGGUGGGUAAAGGCCUACCAAGCCGACGAUCCUUAGCUGGUCUGAGAGGAUGAUCAGCCACACUGGGACUGAGACACGGCCCAGACUCCUACGGGAGGCAGCAGUGGGGAAUAUUGGACAAUGGGGGCAACCCUGAUCCAGCAAUGCCGCGUGAGUGAUGAAGGCCUUAGGGUUGUAAAGCUCUUUUACCAG
This 385-nucleotide ribosomal RNA is filed under the name uncultured bacterium. RNAcentral describes it as "bacterial SSU rRNA". It matches the Rfam family "Bacterial small subunit ribosomal RNA", at positions 29 to 442 of the family's 1533-position model. The record is from RNAcentral.